Molecule: ribosomal RNA, 510 nt
Filed under: Trubatsa sp. n. DZ-2022
Lineage: Eukaryota; Metazoa; Mollusca; Gastropoda; Neogastropoda; Muricidae
Description: partial 16S ribosomal RNA
Rfam family: Bacterial large subunit ribosomal RNA
Source: RNAcentral
GGCUCCUUGUGAUUUAUAAAUAAGGAGUCGGACCUGCCCAGUGAAUUUUUUAACGGCCGCGGUACUCUGACCGUGCAAAGGUAGCAUAAUCAUUUGCCUUAUAAUUGAAGGCUUGUAUGAAUGGUUUGACAAGAGGGUAGCUGUCUCUUUAUAAUUAGGUGGAAUUUUAUUUUCAGGUGAAGAAGCCUGAGUGAUAUUGAAAGACAAGAAGACCCUAUCGAGCUUUAAAAAAAUUAAUGAAUUUUAAAUAUCUUAAUAUUAUAUAAAAAAUCAUUUGUUAAAAAUUUUGGUUGGGGCGACUGGGGAACAAAUAAAGCUUCCUUUAACAAAAAAACAAUCAGGUAUUGAUCCAAAAAAUUUGAUUAAAGAAUUUAGUUACCGUAGGGAUAACAGCAUUAUCUUUUUUGAGAGUUCUAAUCGAAAAAAAGGUUUGUGACCUCGAUGUUGGACCAGAAUAUCCUGAAGAUGCAGCCGUCUUCAAGGGUUGGUCUGUUCGACCAUUAAAAUUCU